RNAcentral lists this ribosomal RNA (1173 nucleotides) under uncultured bacterium. RNAcentral's name for it is "bacterial SSU rRNA". It matches the Rfam family "Bacterial small subunit ribosomal RNA", at positions 40 to 1178 of the family's 1533-position model. The record is from RNAcentral.
CGGCGUGCCUAAUACAUGCAAGUCGAACGCACUGACGUCGAUAGAAGGUGCUUGCACUGGAAGUUGAUUGACGUGAGUGGCGGACGGGUGAGUAACACGUGGGUAACCUGCCCUUAAGCGGGGGAUAACAUUUGGAAACAGAUGCUAAUACCGCAUAAAAGUUGAGAUCACAUGGUCUUAAUUUGAAAGACGGCCUUUGGCUGUCACUUAAGGAUGGACCCGCGGCGUAUUAGCUAGUUGGUGAGAUAAUAGCCUACCAAGGCGAUGAUACGUAGCCGACCUGAGAGGGUAAUCGGCCACAUUGGGACUGAGACACGGCCCAAACUCCUACGGGAGGCAGCAGUAGGGAAUCUUCCACAAUGGACGAAAGUCUGAUGGAGCAACGCCGCGUGAGUGAAGAAGGUUUUCGGAUCGUAAAACUCUGUUGUUGGAGAAGAACAGGGACUAGAGUAACUGUUAGUCCUUUGACGGUAUCCAACCAGAAAGCCACGGCUAACUACGUGCCAGCAGCCGCGGUAAUACGUAGGUGGCAAGCGUUGUCCGGAUUUAUUGGGCGUAAAGCGAGCGCAGGCGGUUUCUUAAGUCUGAUGUGAAAGCCUUCGGCUUAACCGAAGAAGUGCAUCAGAUACUGGGAAACUUGAGUGCAGAAGAGGAAAGUGGAACUCCAUGUGUAGCGGUGAAAUGCGUAGAUAUAUGGAAGAACACCAGUGGCGAAGGCGGCUUUCUGGUCUGUAACUGACGCUGAGGCUUGAAAGUAUGGGGAGCGAACAGGAUUAGAUACCCUGGUAGUCCAUACCGUAAACGAUGAAUGCUAAGUGUUGGAGGGUUUCCGCCCUUCAGUGCUGCAGCUAACGCAUUAAGCAUUCCGCCUGGGGAGUACGACCGCAAGGUUGAAACUCAAAGGAAUUGACGGGGGCCCGCACAAGCGGUGGAGCAUGUGGUUUAAUUCGAAGCUACGCGAAGAACCUUACCAGGUCUUGACAUCUAGCGCCAAUCCUAGAGAUAGGACGUUCCCUUCGGGGACGCUAAGACAGGUGGUGCAUGGUUGUCGUCAGCUCGUGUCGUGAGAUGUUGGGUUAAGUCCCGCAACGAGCGCAACCCUUAUGAUUAGUUGCCAGCAUUUAGUUGGGCACUCUAAUCAGACUGCCGGUGACAAACCGGAGGAAGGUGGGG